UCACCUUUCAUCGACUGACUUCUCUCAGGAUAUAUAUGGCACUAAUAUAAAUGUUGUCAACUAGCUGCUAAUCAAUACUGAUUUUCAUAGUUGUGUCCCGACAAGGGGACAUGAAACCACUCAUUCCCUGAACACAUGCAUUUGUGCCUUAAUCCACUGAGAAGUCUGAACUAUAUGGGAGUUGACUGGGUACUUUGAGGAAACAGUGUGAUGUGUAU
Molecule: long non-coding RNA, 218 nt
Organism: Nothoprocta perdicaria
Lineage: Eukaryota; Metazoa; Chordata; Aves; Tinamiformes; Tinamidae
Exons: 3
Source: RefSeq, a predicted model, not a curated record